CCCCCGGAGGUCCAGCGGUUAAGACUCUGUGCUUCUACUGCAGGGAGCACAGGUUCGAUCCCUGAUCGGGGAC
Molecule: transfer RNA, 73 nt
Filed under: Ovis aries (sheep)
Lineage: Eukaryota; Metazoa; Chordata; Mammalia; Artiodactyla; Bovidae
Rfam family: tRNA
About the family: Transfer RNA (tRNA) molecules are approximately 80 nucleotides in length.
Source: Rfam by way of RNAcentral